UCCCUGGUGGUCCAGUGGUUAGGACUUGGCACUUUCACUGCCAUGGCUUGGCUUCAAUCCCUGGCCAGGGAA
Molecule: non-coding RNA, 72 nt
Organism: Lipotes vexillifer (Yangtze River dolphin)
Lineage: Eukaryota; Metazoa; Chordata; Mammalia; Artiodactyla; Lipotidae
Source: the annotation of a RefSeq genome assembly